UACGAAGGGGGCUAGCGUUGCUCGGAAUCACUGGGCGUAAAGCGCACGUAGGCGGAUUGUUAAGUCAGGGGUGAAAUCCUGGAGCUCAACUCCAGAACUGCCUUUGAUACUGGUGAUCUCGAGUCCGGGAGAGGUGAGUGGAACUGCGAGUGUAGAGGUGAAAUUCGUAGAUAUUCGCAAGAACACCAGUGGCGAAGGCGGCUCACUGGCCCGGUACUGACGCUGAGGUGCGAAAGCGUGGGGAGCAAACAGG
RNAcentral lists this ribosomal RNA (253 nucleotides) under uncultured bacterium. Its description in RNAcentral is "partial 16S ribosomal RNA". It matches the Rfam family "Bacterial small subunit ribosomal RNA", at positions 524 to 776 of the family's 1533-position model. The record is from RNAcentral.